AUCUACUGCCAUACCACUCUGAAUGUGCCUAAUCUCAUCUGACCUUGGAAGCUAAGCAGGGUGGGGCCUGGUUAGUACUUGGAUGGUAGAAUCCUAAUUGAGUUAGAAG
This is a ribosomal RNA of Otolemur garnettii (small-eared galago), 109 nucleotides long. Lineage: Eukaryota; Metazoa; Chordata; Mammalia; Primates; Galagidae. The record is from Ensembl.